AUUGAACGCUGGCGGCAUGCCUUACACAUGCAAGUCGAACGGUAACAGGUCUUCGGAUGCUGACGAGUGGCGAACGGGCGAGUAAUACAUCGGAACGUGCCCGAUCGUGGGGGAUAACGAAGCGAAAGCUUUGCUAAUACCGCAUACGAUCUACGGAUGAAAGCCGGGGACCGCAAGGCCUUGCGCGAACGGAGCGGCCGAUGGCCGAUUAGGUAGUUGGUGGGAUAAAAGCUUACCAAGCCGACGAUCUGUAGCUGGUCUGAGAGGACGACCAGCCACACUGGGACUGGGACACGGCCCAGACUCCUACGGGAGGCAGCAGUGGGGAAUUUUGGACAAUGGGCGAAAGCCUGAUCCAGCCAUGCCGCGUGCAGGAUGAAGGCCUUCGGGUUGUAAACUGCUUUUGUACGGAACGAAAAGACUCUGGUUAAUACCUGGGGUCCAUGACGGUACCGUAAGAAUAAGCACCGGCUAACUACGUG
RNAcentral lists this ribosomal RNA (482 nucleotides) under uncultured bacterium. RNAcentral's name for it is "partial 16S ribosomal RNA". It matches the Rfam family "Bacterial small subunit ribosomal RNA", at positions 30 to 507 of the family's 1533-position model. The record is from RNAcentral.